Molecule: ribosomal RNA, 254 nt
Filed under: uncultured bacterium
Lineage: Bacteria
Description: partial 16S ribosomal RNA
Rfam family: Bacterial small subunit ribosomal RNA
Source: RNAcentral
UACGUAGGGGGCAAGCGUUGUCCGGAUUCAUUGGGCGUAAAGAGCUCGUAGGCGGUGUGUCACGUCGGCCGUGAAAACCUGCAGCUUAACUGUGGGCGUGCGGUCGAUACGGGCAUCACUGGAGUUCGGCAGGGGAGACUGGAAUUCCUGGUGUAGCGGUGAAAUGCGCAGAUAUCAGGAGGAACACCGGUGGCGAAGGCGGGUCUCUGGGCCAUAACUGACGCUGAGAAGCGAAAGCAUGGGGAGCGAACAGG